AGUGAACGCUGGCGGUAGGCCUAACACAUGCAAGUCGAACGGCAGCACAGUAAGAGCUUGCUCUUACGGGUGGCGAGUGGCGGACGGGUGAGGAAUACAUCGGAAUCUACUUUUUCGUGGGGGAUAACGUAGGGAAACUUACGCUAAUACCGCAUACGACCUACGGGUGAAAGCAGGGGAUCUUCGGACCUUGCGCGAUUGAAUGAGCCGAUGUCGGAUUAGCUAGUUGGCGGGGUAAAGGCCCACCAAGGCGACGAUCCGUAGCUGGUCUGAGAGGAUGAUCACCCACACGUGAACCGAGACCCGGUCCAGACCCCUACGGGAGGCAGAAGUGGGGAAUAUUGGAAAAUGGGCGCAAGCCUGAUCCCGCCAUACCGGGUGGGUGAAGAAGGCCUUCGGGUUGUAAAGCCCUUUUGUUGGGAAAGAAAAGCAGCAGGUUAAUACCCCGCUGUUCUGACGGUACCCAAAGAAUAAGCCCCGGCUAACUUCGU
RNAcentral lists this ribosomal RNA (491 nucleotides) under uncultured bacterium. RNAcentral's name for it is "partial 16S ribosomal RNA". It matches the Rfam family "Bacterial small subunit ribosomal RNA", at positions 29 to 506 of the family's 1533-position model. The record is from RNAcentral.